CAGUCGCCACGGGAAUACAGAGGGUGCAAACGUUGUUCGGAAUUACUGGGCGUAAAACGUGCGUAGGCGGUUUGUUAAGUCUGUUGUGAAAUCCCCGGGCUCAACCUGGGAAUGGCAAUGGAUACUGGCAAGCUAGAGUGUGUCAGAGGAUGGUGGAAUUCCCGGUGUAGCGGUGAAAUGCGUAGAGAUCGGGAGGAACAUCAGUGGCGAAGGCGGCCAUCUGGGACAACACUGACGCUGAGGCACGAAAGCGUGGGGAGCAAACAGGAUUAGAUACCCCCGUAGUCCCUGUCUCUUAUAC
This 301-nucleotide ribosomal RNA is filed under the name uncultured bacterium. RNAcentral describes it as "partial 16S ribosomal RNA". It matches the Rfam family "Bacterial small subunit ribosomal RNA", at positions 509 to 807 of the family's 1533-position model. The record is from RNAcentral.